Molecule: ribosomal RNA, 473 nt
Filed under: uncultured archaeon
Lineage: Archaea
Description: bacterial SSU rRNA
Rfam family: Archaeal small subunit ribosomal RNA
Source: RNAcentral
GGUUUGGUCAGUCCUCCGGGAAAUCUGAUAGCUCAACUAUUAGGCUUUCGGGGAGUACUGCCAGACUUGGAACCGGGAGAGGUAAGAGGUACUACAGGGGUAGGAGUGAAAUCUUGUAAUCCCUGUGGGACCACCUGUGGCGAAGGCGUCUUACCAGAACGGGUUCGACGGUGAGGGACGAAAGGCUGGGGGCGACGAACCGGAUUACGAUACCCGGUAGUCCCAGCCGUAACGAUGCUCGCUAGGUGUCAGGCAUGGCGCGACCGUGUCUGGUGCCGCAGGGAAGCCGUGAAGCGAGCCACCUGGGAAGUACGGCCGUAAGGCUGGAAACUUAAAGGAAUUGGCGGGGGAGCACAACAACGGGUGGAGCCUGCGGUUUAAUUGGACUCAACGCCGGACAACUCACCGGGGGCGACAGCAAUAUGUAGGCCAAGCUGAAGACUUUGCCUGAAUCGCUGAGGGGUGGUGCAUGG